Molecule: non-coding RNA, 80 nt
Organism: Gnomoniopsis sp. IMI 355080
Lineage: Eukaryota; Fungi; Ascomycota; Sordariomycetes; Diaporthales; Gnomoniaceae
Source: the annotation of a GenBank genome assembly
GGGCCUAAUGGUUAAGGCAUCCGAUUUCGGUAUGGAAUCCAUAUCUCGGAAGAUUGGGAGUUCGAAUCUUCCCGGGGUCG